GCCCUCCCAGCUGUUAGCAAUCAGGAGCUGCAGGGGUCAGAGCCGGCACAGAUCCCAAACUAUUCCUUCCCUCGAUGCCUGGCGUGUAUUUUGGACGGCGUUUUUCCAGCUCUUGCCGGGGAAAGAAAAAAGCAACCCCGACAGCCCUUGUGCCUGCCGGCACUGCUGCUGCCAGCGGAGCGAGGGCCGGGUGGAGGUUUUGGGAGAGCUGGGAAAGGAGGAACGCUCUGUGCAGCAAGCGGGCAAGGCUCGGGGGUCACGGCAGAGCUCGCUUCAGUUGCGGUCUUUCUGGGGUUCGUUGGAAGAAAGGCAGCUCCUGUGCCUAUGGUGCUGUGCAAACCAAGGCCCCCAGCACAAGCUCUCUCCUCAGAGGAUGCAAUUACAGCACGCUGUGUUUUUUUCCCCAUUUUGAGGGGAAUAAAUGCCCAGAGGUUCCCUUUAAACCCAGCUUAACUCCUGCCACAGACUACUCCACCAUGCAUUAGCAACCCCAACUAUGAAGUCUGCUCUACGAGACCCCAAAUGCUGCAACACUUGAUAAUAAACCACACUUUGGGUCUUUUUUUUUCCCCCAGGUCACGAUUUCCAAUAAGCCCUUUUCUUAGCCCAAAACAUCUCAAAGUCCCUUUACAAGCCGCACUGUCGGCACACAUGACCGAGGGGGAAAGAAGAUACCCGCACAGAGGGAUCUGCAAAGUUCUGCCCUUUAAUAAAGAAGCAAAAACGAUCUACCACCCCAGGACGGAGUCAAACCCACCACGACCUAGCCCCUUAAGGACCACAACACAAGGCGGGUGCUUUCCCAAAGAGAUUCGUCUAAUCCCACCCACGUCAACGCUCACAAGUUGGGUUACUCCCGCGGACGUGUCACCGCGGGGCUGCGCCACGCUCCUCGCCGGCAGCGCUGGGAAGGGCUCCGCGACCCUCACCCACACCAGCCCCCAGGCGAUUCCGGAGGAAAACACUCUGGGAAGCGGCUCGUCUGCCUCAAAAUGCAUCUUACGGCACGGGCGGGAAUGUCAGUGCGGGCAGAGAGACUUGGCAGGCAUCGGUGGGCCGUUGCCUGCCGCCGGCAAGGGCAGCCAGGAAGGAAAAGGGCGGGAGCCUGCCGAUUUCUAGGAGCGGUACCGGCGGAGCGGGACUUGAAGCCACGGUGCGGGCAAGCGGGACGAGCGUGCAGCGGGACACACGGCAUGCACGGCCGGCGGAGGGGAAAGCCAGGAGAGAAAUACCCGGCGGCACCGCCGCCCCGCUACUCACAGCGUCCGGGGACCCGCGCUCCGCGCCUCGCCGCCGGCCGGGUUAAAGCUCCCGGGGCCGGACUGGUGUAAACAACCUCCCCACAUGCUCGGCCCCUUCCUGCGCAUUGGUUCCGCGGCUGCCUUUAAAUGCACGCCCCCGGGCCCGGCCUUGCCGCUCCCGCUGGCUUGUAUCGCACCAGCCCGGCGGAUGCCGCCGCUCUCCGCCCGCCUACCGCAGGGGCAAGGCAAGGGGGACGGUGGGCGCUCCCCUCUGGCUCCCCUCGCUCUGAGCGGGCCAGCUUCUGCCCGACGGGGGAGAAAGGCAGGCAGGCACCGCGCCCUAGUCCCCGCCGGGGCUCUCCGCCGCACCCGGAGCUCUGCUGUUUUACUCAAGGGACCAGGCUCUCGGUCACCCUCCUGCCUUGAGCGAUGGGGCUCUGUCAC
Long non-coding RNA from Pogoniulus pusillus (Red-fronted tinkerbird), 1685 nucleotides. RefSeq lists it as uncharacterized. Lineage: Eukaryota; Metazoa; Chordata; Aves; Piciformes; Lybiidae. The transcript has 2 exons. The record is from RefSeq and is a predicted model, not a curated record.